This 484-nucleotide ribosomal RNA is filed under the name uncultured bacterium. RNAcentral describes it as "partial 16S ribosomal RNA". It matches the Rfam family "Bacterial small subunit ribosomal RNA", at positions 28 to 523 of the family's 1533-position model. The record is from RNAcentral.
GACGAACGCUGGCGGCGUGCUUAACACAUGCAAGUCGAACGAUGAAGCUAGAGCUUGCUCUGGUGAAUUAGUGGCGAACGGGUGAGUAACACGUGAGUAACCUGCCCCGAACUCUGGGAUAACUGCUGGAAACGGUAGCUAAUACUGGAUACGACCUACGAAGGCAUCUUCUGUAGGUGGAAAGAAUUUCGGUUCGGGAUGGACUCGCGGCCUAUCAGCUUGUUGGUGAGGUAAUGGCUCACCAAGGCGACGACGGGUAGCUGGCCUGAGAGGGUGACCGGCCACACUGGGACUGAGACACGGCCCAGACUCCUACGGGAGGCAGCAGUGGGGAAUAUUGCACAAUGGGCGCAAGCCUGAUGCAGCAACGCCGCGUGAGGGAUGACGGCCUUCGGGUUGUAAACCUCUUUUAGUAGGGAAGAAGCGAAAGUGACGGUACCUACGGAAAAAGCACCGGCUAACUACGUGCCAGCCGCCGCAGUAA